Molecule: ribosomal RNA, 493 nt
Filed under: uncultured bacterium
Lineage: Bacteria
Description: partial 16S ribosomal RNA
Rfam family: Bacterial small subunit ribosomal RNA
Source: RNAcentral
AACGAACGCUGGCGGCGCGUCUUAAACAUGCAAGUCGAACGGCAGGAAGGGGCUUGCCCCUUCUGAGAGUGGCGGACUGGUGAGUAACCCGUGGGUGACAUACCUUUUAGUUGGGGAUAGCUAUUAGAAAUAGUAGGUAAUACCGAAUGUGACCGUACCUGUUAGAGGGGUACGAGGAAAGGAGCUAAGGCUUCGCUAAAAGAAUGGCUCGCGGCCCAUUAUGCUCGUUGGUGAGGUAACGGCCCACCAAGGCGAUGAUGGGUAUCCGGCCUGAGAGGGUGAACGGACACAUUGGGACUGAGAUACGGCCCAGACUUCUACGGGAGGCAGCAGUUAAGAAUAUUCCGCAAUGGACGAAAGUCUGACGGAGCGACGCCGCGUGGAUGAAGAAUGCCGAAAGGUUGUAAAAUCCUUUUAAGCCUGAUGAAUAAGCACAGUAGGGAAUGAUUGUGCGGUGACCGUAGGGCUUGAAUAAGCACCGGCUAAUUACGUG